CCUACGGGAGGCUGCAGUGAGGAAUAUUGGUCAAUGGGCGGAAGCCUGAACCAGCCAAGUAGCGUGCGGGAUGAAGGCCCUACGGGUCGUAAACCGCUUUUGCACGGGGAUAACACCCUCCACUUGUGGCGGUCUGCAGGUACCGUGCGAAUAAGGGCCGGCAAAUUCCGGGCCAGCAGCCGCGGUAAAACGGGAGGCCCGAGGGUUAUCCGGAUUCAUUGGGCUUAAAGGGAGCGUAGGGGGGCGUUCAAGUCAGCGGUAAAAUCGCGCGGCUCAACCGCGCCCCGCAGUUGAAACUGGACGCCUUGAGUUCACAACAGGCAGGCGGAAUUCGUGGUGUAGCGGUGAAAUGCAUAGAUAUCACGAGGAACCCCGAUUGCGAAGGCAGCCUGCCGGGGUGCGACUGACGCUGAGGCUCGAAGGUGCGGGUAUCAAACAGGAUUAGAUACCCUAGUAGUC
RNAcentral lists this ribosomal RNA (459 nucleotides) under uncultured bacterium. RNAcentral describes it as "partial 16S ribosomal RNA". It matches the Rfam family "Bacterial small subunit ribosomal RNA", at positions 338 to 795 of the family's 1533-position model. The record is from RNAcentral.